CUGGGACAGGAAACCUGGACCUGCUGCAGGCUCCCGAAGAUGGAAGAGAUGCAGCCUCUGGGCAGCAAGGUCUCGUUCCAGGCGGGAGAGAAUCUGAGAUUAAUCUGUGCUUGGGAAGAAGACAGCCACGAGUUCCAGUCUGGAUUGCUUUCACCAGUAGCUAGCCACACAGAGAUCCCCGAGCAAACAUGGAUCCAGCUGGGUCUGGAAUUGGGUUCAGAAUGA
Molecule: long non-coding RNA, 225 nt
Filed under: Dromaius novaehollandiae (emu)
Lineage: Eukaryota; Metazoa; Chordata; Aves; Casuariiformes; Dromaiidae
Description: lncRNA (ENSDNVG00000004585.1)
Source: RNAcentral